Scomber japonicus (chub mackerel) is the source of this 305-nucleotide long non-coding RNA. RefSeq lists it as uncharacterized. The record is from RefSeq and is a predicted model, not a curated record. The transcript has 5 exons. NCBI's taxonomy places the organism in Eukaryota, Metazoa, Chordata, Actinopteri, Scombriformes, Scombridae.
UCAGGCUCAUGGACUACACCUGGUUGCCCUUGGUUACAGCAUGGAGCCCUCUGAUUGGACACAAGCUUCACUGACUCCAGGUCUGCAGGAUGUCAGAUUCUCCUGAUGAAGAUGACCAGAGGAACGUGGACUCAACCAGCAGGAUGUGGGCGGAGCCUCAGCCAGGUCCGUCCAGGUGUGGGCCCAGCAGGCAGGGUUACUGUGGUUACUGCAGAGUCCUCUACAGCAGCUUGGACCAGCACCUGUCCAGUCUCAGACACCUGGAUUCUGUCCGGGGCUCCACCCGGGGCUCCACCCGGGGCUCC